This 580-nucleotide ribosomal RNA is filed under the name Staphylococcus aureus. RNAcentral's name for it is "bacterial SSU rRNA". It matches the Rfam family "Bacterial small subunit ribosomal RNA", at positions 1 to 563 of the family's 1533-position model. The record is from RNAcentral. Lineage: Bacteria; Bacillati; Bacillota; Bacilli; Caryophanales; Staphylococcaceae.
UUUAUGGAGAGUUUGAUCCUGGCUCAGGAUGAACGCUGGCGGCGUGCCUAAUACAUGCAAGUCGAGCGAACGGACGAGAAGCUUGCUUUUCUGAUGUUAGCGGCGGACGGGUGAGUAACACGUGGAUAACCUACCUAUAAGACUGGGAUAACUUCGGGAAACCGGAGCUAAUACCGGAUAAUAUUUUGAACCGCAUGGUUCAAAAGUGAAAGACGGUCUUGCUGUCACUUAUAGAUGGAUCCGCGCUGCAUUAGCUAGUUGGUAAGGUAACGGCUUACCAAGGCAACGAUGCAUAGCCGACCUGAGAGGGUGAUCGGCCACACUGGAACUGAGACACGGUCCAGACUCCUACGGGAGGCAGCAGUAGGGAAUCUUCCGCAAUGGGCGAAAGCCUGACGGAGCAACGCCGCGUGAGUGAUGAAGGUCUUCGGAUCGUAAAACUCUGUUAUUAGGGAAGAACAUAUGUGUAAGUAACUGUGCACAUCUUGACGGUACCUAAUCAGAAAGCCACGGCUAACUACGUGCCAGCAGCCGCGGUAAUACGUAGGUGGCAAGCGUUAUCCGGAAUUAUUGGGCGUAA